This is a long non-coding RNA of Mus musculus (house mouse), 1903 nucleotides long. RefSeq annotates it as predicted gene, 54312. The record is from RefSeq and is a predicted model, not a curated record. NCBI's taxonomy places the organism in Eukaryota, Metazoa, Chordata, Mammalia, Rodentia, Muridae. The transcript is spliced from 2 exons.
CCCGGAAGAGCUCGAAACUGACCCAGAAGAAAAACCUGCAGUGCCCAGUCCCUCUCUGAUAGGUCCGUGUGGAACCAGUUCCCUCGUGUUUAUUGGGCUGGAGUGUUUUCAAUUAUAUCAGCUCUCAGCUGGCUGUCAUGGCUAAAGGCGAAGACCACGAAUUUCAAGAGAAAUGAAGGGGCACUGUGCCACAGCGAGAUUGCAGAGGCCAGAGGAUAACUUCAGGAAUCGGUCUCUCUCCUUCUACCACAUAUGUCCUGAAGAUGGAACCGAGGUCAUCUGGUCAUCUGCGGAACUCGCCUUCACUGGCUCAGAAAGGGUGUAGCCCAAGUUGGUCACAAACUCUCAGCGUAGCCAAAGCUGGCCUUGAAUUUAUGAUUUUAGUGCUCCCAUCUCUUGAGCAUCGAGAUUUCAGAUGUGCGCCACUGUGUCUGGCUCGUGUAUGAGUGAGCUUAUGCUGGCUAAAAUCUUUCUGAAGAAUACUAAUUUCAGAGUUAGCUGGAUGGCUGAGAAUAAGAUUCUCAGCAGGACAACGAUAUUUAGUUGCAACACUUACAUGCUUUUAAAACCAGAUUCUGAAACAAACAAAAAUAAUUUCCCUGUUCCCUUAUGUACAGUACCAGUGUGGCUUACUCAGUGUUUGAGGACACUUGAGAUCGUUGGAAAGACUUGUGUUGGUCCCACUACCUUGGUGAAGAAAAAACAAAAAAACACAGCAAAACCACUCAUUGUAGCUGGGUGUGAUUGUACCCAGCUUUAAUCCCCCUCCUCUGAGGAAGCAACACAGGUGGAUCUGUGCUAGGUGAAGACCAGCACGACAUCUCAUAGGGAUAUCUCAGAGUUCUAGGCCAGCUAGGGAUACAUUUUGAAAUCCUAUCCCAAAACAAAACAAAAACCUAUCAUAAUUAAUAUUGUUAACUUGGCAGGAUCUGGAGACACCAUGGAAAUAAACCUCCAGGCUGUCUGUGAGGAAUUACCAAGAUUAGAUUAACUAAAGUGAGAAGAUCCACUAUAAAUGUGUGUGGCCCCAUCCCCCAGACUAGAGUUCUGGACCGAAGGAAAAGGAGAAAAUGGGCUGAGCCUCAGUGUUUAACUCUCUUCGCUUCCCCAGGGUCAAUGCCAUGUGAGCAGCUGUCCGCUUCAGCCUCCCCACCAUGAUGGGCUGUGAACCCUCAGACUGUGAGCCAACUUAACCCUUUCCUUCCUUAAGUUGCUUUCUUUUUCUUUUCUUUUCUUUUUUAAGAUUUAUUUAUUAUUAUGUCUACGUACACUGUAGCUGUCCUCAGACACACCAGAAGAGGGCAUCGGAUCUCAUUAAGGAUGGUUGUGAGCCACCAUGUGAUUGCUGCGAUUUGAACUCAGGACCUUCUGAAGAGCAGUCAGUGCUCUUAACCGCUCAGCCAUCUCUCCAGCCUCCUUAAGUUGCUUUUGUUGUACAUUUUGUUACAGCAAGGAGACAAGUAACUAAAACACCCAUACAUCAGCCAAUGAUGAGAAAUUAUUUUAUUGGGUGAUUUUUAAAGGCCUUGUCUGCCAGAUGGGGGCUUACAGAAGUCAUCAGGACCUAUCCACCACCACCAAAGAAGGAAGAGCCACAAACCAUUGCAUUCCCUCAAGCAAGGAGCACGUUGCAGAAGAGCUUCAGGGGGACUUGGUAAAUUAGUUCGGGGUAGGGUGGGGAGCAUCCCAGUCCCAGGGCUUUUGAAUCCUUCUGGCAGAAUGCCCCUUCCUCUCUUUCUUCUGAAGACUUGGGCUUUAAGAAUGCACCAUUUCCUGGAAUUCUAGAAUAGAAGAUGAGAGGACAGACUCAGUGCAGGUGGCUCAGGGUUUUGCAGGUGUGCCAUCUCCCUAAGAAUUCUGAAGAGGGAAGAAAAAAAAUGAAAUAAAUUCCCAGAGAAACAUG